CCUACGGGAGGCAGCAGUGAGGACUAUUGGUCAAUGGACGCGAGUCUGAACCAGCCAAGUCGCGUGAAGGAUGACUGCCCUAUGGGUUGUAAACUUCUUUUACAUGGGAAUAAAAUGUUCCACGUGUGGGUUUUUGUAUGUACCAUAUGAAUAAGGAUCGGCUAACUCCGUGCCAGCAGCCGCGGUAAUACGGAGGAUCCGAGCGUUAUCCGGAUUUAUUGGGUUUAAAGGGAGCGUAGGUGGAUUGUUAAGUCAGUUGUGAAAGUUUGCGGCUCAACCGUAAAAUUGCAGUUGAAACUGGCAGUCUUGAGUACAGUAGAGGUGGGCGGAAUUCGUGGUGUAGCGGUGAAAUGCUUAGAUAUCACGAAGAACUCCGAUUGCGAAGGCAGCUCACUGGACUGCAACUGACACUGAGGCUCGAAAGUGUGGGUAUCAAACAGGAUUAGAUACCCUUGUAGUC
This 460-nucleotide ribosomal RNA is filed under the name uncultured bacterium. RNAcentral describes it as "partial 16S ribosomal RNA". It matches the Rfam family "Bacterial small subunit ribosomal RNA", at positions 338 to 795 of the family's 1533-position model. The record is from RNAcentral.